UCCGUGUUCGCGUAGAUCCUGGGUUUCGCGCGCUUUCUCAAAUAGCUUUUAUAGUUGGGCUCGUGGAGCCAGUCUGCGUUUCAAUCGAAGAGCUUACGGUUGGCGGAAAGCGCGCUAUGGAAAGCGAAUACGAAAGGUGGACUUCAGCCACAUGCUCUGGGCCUGCCCGGUGGCCCCCGUGAGGGUCGAAUUCCCAGACGGGCGGGGAUGGAAGGCCACGCUCCUCAGCUCCGACCCACAAAAAAGGCACGCUCAAUCCGACAGGCCGAAGAUGCCGCCAGGGCGCAUGGGAUCAUGGCCGACGACUAGGUUGAUCCCCCCCCCCCUCUCCUGCAAG
Long non-coding RNA from Dermacentor andersoni, 337 nucleotides. RefSeq lists it as uncharacterized. NCBI's taxonomy places the organism in Eukaryota, Metazoa, Arthropoda, Arachnida, Ixodida, Ixodidae. The record is from RefSeq and is a predicted model, not a curated record.